This 253-nucleotide ribosomal RNA is filed under the name uncultured bacterium. RNAcentral describes it as "partial 16S ribosomal RNA". It matches the Rfam family "Bacterial small subunit ribosomal RNA", at positions 524 to 776 of the family's 1533-position model. The record is from RNAcentral.
UACGGAGGGUGCAAGCAUUAAUCGGAUUUAUUGGGCGUAAAGGGCGCGUAGGCGGAUCGACAAGUCAGAUGUGAAAUCCCGAGGCUCAACCUCGGAACUGCAUUUGAAACUAUCAAUCUAGAGGGUAGGCGGAGAAAACGGAAUUCCACAAGUAGCGGUGAAAUGCGUAGAUAUGUGGAAGAACACCGGUGGCGAAGGCGGUUUUCUAGCUUAAACCUGACGCUGAGGCGCGAAAGCAAGGGGAUCAAACAGG